This 29-nucleotide non-coding RNA is filed under the name Mus musculus (house mouse). Lineage: Eukaryota; Metazoa; Chordata; Mammalia; Rodentia; Muridae. The record is from RNAcentral.
UACUUCUUUGUCUUUAAUGGUCAGUUUUU